Molecule: non-coding RNA, 1216 nt
Organism: Cricetulus griseus (Chinese hamster)
Lineage: Eukaryota; Metazoa; Chordata; Mammalia; Rodentia; Cricetidae
Source: RefSeq, a predicted model, not a curated record
CAAGGUGAGUUCUCCAUGAGGACAAAGGUGGAAACUGCGACCAAAAAACAAAACAAAACAAAAAAGAACUUGAAGAAACGGAAACGACUGUCAGUUCCUCCUGGAGUUGCAUCCGGGGCGGGACUUUGCGCCAUCGACUUGCUGGGGCAGCCGGAACCCUCGCAACACAGCCCUGUAGGUUUCCAGGCGGCGCUCAGAAGCAACUUCCGGCUGCUCCGGAAGUUGUGGAGUUGUUUCCGGGGCGGUCGGAGGAGUGGAUCUCUGAUGGGUCGUAGCCGUAGCCGCUCCCCGCGGAGGGAGCGUAGGCGAUCCCGGUCCACAUCCCGGGAUCGAGAAAGAAGGCGCCGAGAAAGGUCCAGGUCCCGGGAGAGGGAUAGGAGAAGGAGCCGCUCAAGAUCCCCACACCGAAGACGCUCCAGGUCUCCGAGGCGACAUAGAUCCACAUCUCCUUCCCCUUCUCGACUGAAAGAAAGAAGAGACGAGGAGAAGAAAGAAACUAAAGAAACAAAGAGCAAAGAACGUCAGAUUACUGAGGAAGAUUUGGAGGGUAAAACAGAGGAAGAAAUAGAAAUGAUGAAAUUAAUGGGAUUUGCCUCCUUUGACUCCACAAAAGGUUUCACUGUGUAGCACAGGCUGGCCUUAAACUUGAAAUCCUCCAGAUCCUCCUGCCUUAGUCACCUGAGUGCUGGGAUUAAGAAGCAAGGAUUUUAGUCCACAAUCACAGGGAAGAUAUCACUUAGCCCAAGCUGGCCUCAAUCUUGUUACCUAGCCAAGGGAAGAAGGUGGAUGGCUCUGUAAAUGCCUAUGCCAUAAAUGUGUCUCAGAAGAGGAAGUACAGGCAGUACAUGAAUCGAAAAGGCGGAUUCAACAGACCUCUGGAUUUUAUUGCAUGAGACUUGAGGUGUUGGAGGAUUUCCUCCCCCUUCAUCUGGGUCAGAGAGUAUUUUAUAUUUUGUAUUUAAUACACCUCAAAACAGGAUCUUGGUUCUUCCUUCUUAUAAAGUAAGAAAGUCUUAUUUAUGACACCCAGUGUACUUACUUUCAUCAGGAGGUAGGUGACACUUUUUAAGGCGGUGUCCCUGCGGUGGGUGCAGCCCAUUUGUCUUAUUCCUUUGAACCUGUGUGUGCUUUCUUCUUGGAUGCUUUUUAGUUCUUAAAAACUUAAAGUAACUUAGAUGUGAGUUUCUCCAAUAAAACAGUAUUUCUACCCAUUUUA